RNAcentral lists this ribosomal RNA (497 nucleotides) under uncultured bacterium. RNAcentral describes it as "partial 16S ribosomal RNA". It matches the Rfam family "Bacterial small subunit ribosomal RNA", at positions 28 to 507 of the family's 1533-position model. The record is from RNAcentral.
GAUGAACGCUGGCGGCGUGCCUAAUACAUGCACGUCGAGCGAACAGACGAGGAGCUUGCUCCUCUGACGUUAGCGGCGGACGGGUGAGUAACACGUGGAUAACCUACCUAUAAGACUGGGAUAACUUCGGGAAACCGGAGCUAAUACCGGAUAAUAUAUUGAACCGCAUGGUUCAAUAGUGAAAGACGGUUUUGCUGUCACUUAUAGAUGGAUCCGCGCCGCAUUAGCUAGUUGGUAAGGUAACGGCUUACCAAGGCAACGAUGCGUAGCCGACCGGAGAGGGGGAUCGGCCACACUGGAACUGAGACACGGUCCAGACUCCUAAGGGAGGCAGCAGUAGGGAAUCUUCCGCAAUGGGCGAAAGCUUGACGGAGCAACGCCGCGUGAGUGAUGAAGGUCUUCGGAUCGUAAAACUCUGUUAUUAGGGAAGAACAAAUGUGUAAGUAACUAUGCACGUCUUGACGGUACCUAAUCAGAAAGCCACGGCUAACUACGUG